AACAUGGGAGAGAACAAAUAUGCUCGUCUCCACUUGAGGGGAUUGCUAUAGGGUUGUUGUUGUUUUUUUUUUGGGGGGGGGGGGUUGGGGGGGGGGGGUUGUAUUUACAGAGUUAUCUCCUAGUAUUCUAACACAAAAUAGAAUAUUUAGCAACAAAGAGACUACUGAUCAAGUAAAAAUAUUUUUUAUUUAAUUUUUUGAUUAAAGCAAAAGUCAGUUACCUUGCUGUUUUUUUUUUUUACGGUGUUCUAUUUUCACUCACUGUGGUUGGCCCCUCCCUCAACUGGUGUCUCUUCCUGUUAAAAGGGAGGUUUUUUUCUUUGCACCGUUGCAAAUUCUCUAGGCAUACCGGGGUUUGGGACUUCUUUCUAAGAUUGUACGGUCAUUACCACGCAAAGGUGGGAGAAUUAGAAAAAACUGACAACUAUCAUUAACAUACCAACUUUCAGCAUAAGAAGAUAAGAGAUGGCACAGAUGGAUCAGUGCAGGUUUGGUACAAACAUGGAGAAGAUGGUGUGGAUAAUUUUUAUCUCCAGCCUGAACUUCUCUCAGGUGUCUACCCAAAGAACCGAUGGUGCCAGUGAACAUGAAGGAAGAUCAGCAUCAGACAUCCUGAAAAUUGUACUCCAGUUACUACUGGGUCCUUUUUUGGUAUAUAUGAUAUAUUCCCUAUGGAGACAUCAGGCACGCUUGCGUCAUCAACAGCAACAUCGCCAGCAUUAGUUUCCAUGAGGAGCAGAAGGAUCAGUAACACACGUUCAUCAAUCUGUGUAUUGACUUGACAGAAAUUUAAGGAAACCGCUGCUUAAGCUGUUGAAUAAAUAUCAGUUUGACAACAGCUUGUAGAAAUCCAUAGUUACAUUUUAGCAGUUCAUUUAUAUUUUCUAUUAAUUUUCAUCUGCAUCUAAUCUUGUUAUAAAGCCAUCAUGAGUUCAUGUAAAGUCUGUGGUUGCAGCAUUAAACAUGUUUCUACUCUUCUGGUGUUUUGUUUUUUUUAACUUUUUAUUUUAUUUAUUUAAACAACCCACCUGUCUAAUACACAUACAGUUUCUUCAGACUAACAGAAUACUAAGAGAGUCCCAAACUUAAGGGAAAAAAAUGCAGAGAAAUUAGAAAGAAAAAGGAACAAACAAUAUAUAUAUAUAUGUCUGUGUGUAUAAAAAUAUAAAUACAUAUAUAAUAAUGUAUGUAUGCGGCGCCAUCUUGGAACUUAGACUGACUUAGACUGAUAUUUC
Molecule: long non-coding RNA, 1235 nt
Organism: Astatotilapia calliptera (eastern happy)
Lineage: Eukaryota; Metazoa; Chordata; Actinopteri; Cichliformes; Cichlidae
Source: Ensembl